RNAcentral lists this unclassified non-coding RNA (796 nucleotides) under Hevea brasiliensis (rubber tree). Lineage: Eukaryota; Viridiplantae; Streptophyta; Magnoliopsida; Malpighiales; Euphorbiaceae. The record is from RNAcentral.
AAUAUGUGAACUGUGUCUCCGGCAUUUAAUAUUUGAAUACUCAUGAGCUCUAGAGUAGUACUAAACUUUUAAAAAGACUGUAAACAAAGUCUGACCAAUGUCGGAAGAAUGAUCCAGUGAAGAAGAGUACCUAACGGAAGUAAACAGACACAAGAGGGAUGUCAAUAUCAUUAUCCUCGUCAUCCUCGCAUGCUACGACAACAUCCAAAUGUCGACGGUACGGAGGCAGCUCCACCUUUGCAACAUCUCGAGCUAAAUCAACCACCUUCUUGUCCAUUCGAUCUCUGUGUCGAGGAAACAUACUAUUGUACAGGAGACAGCUACCACAUGAGAUGCUAUAGGCAUUCAAUCCCUUGUUUUUCAACCAAUCAAUAAGUUCUCUGAGAGUAGGGUUGUCUUUGAUGAUCCAUCUGUCCCAGACUGUCCAGCUCAUGUCUCGGUGCUUAAUGACCUUGGGUGGGACUGGCUCAGCCAUGGAAAAUAGAGGCAAUGCAAGGUUGGCAAAUGUGUUACGGUAGUCCUCCACCUUGUGGCCACCAUCGAGAACUUUGUACAGUUCAAGGCAGACGAGACCUGUGGCCAUUGCGGUCGAGGUUGCAAUGGCAGGGAUGAUCCUUCCGGCGAUGAACUUGGCUUUCAACUUAUCUACUUCAGGAAUGCUGUAAUUCCUCGCUCUCAUGUUAGCAAGCCCAGCUAUGAGAUCCAUAUGGAAAUUUGAAUCAUCAUCCUUCUCAAACUGGAUCGGUUUCAUCCUGAAUCCCUCUGGUAGCUUCCUGCGAGUUUCCUCCAAUUUGUU